AGAGCCAAUCCAGGGGAGCUCAGGUGUGUGCAAUGAACCUCAGUGAUGGAAGGGCUGGAGCCAGGAUCCACCCUUUCCAGACCUCAUUUACGGGUUGGUAGUGGAGGUGAGGGUAUUUCUUGUUGGAUAUCCUUGCCUAUUUGAGGUCUUCUAAAGAUAAAAUCAUAGAAUAUCCUGAACUGGAAGGCACCCAUAGGUGUCUAUGAUUGUAGAGAGGAAUCGUGGAAUGGCUCAGCACGGAAAAGAUCUCAGUACAAAAGAAAAUCACCGAACAACGGAAGGUAAUGGAGGCUCAGGCUGGUGACUGAAUACACACAGCAAUGGACUGUGGGGUUUCUGACCAGGGGGACACAGCAGCAGAGCCUGUGACACCUACCUGCUGCAGUACCAGUGAGCACACUCAGGCUAUGGCCUGCAGAGCCUGUCCUCCUGGAUCAAGAGGUGUCUUAGGGGACUUAAAAGAGUGGUUCAAAUCAACAGAAUGUCCUGGAUCCUAAGACAAAUUAUGGCUAAAUGCAAACAUGCAUUGAAUGGGUGCUUUACCAAAACCCUGCUGCUGCUUCCGAGCUGUAACAAUGAAUGUGAAUUUCAAGCCCUCGUGGAAAAUUCAGCAGUACUAUUCUGGCUCUGGAAUAUUCCCAGCUUCUGAGUUGCCUGAAUGCAAUCAGCAGUGUGAAAAGCCUUAAGUCACAGACUAAAAAUAACAAAAGAAAUGAAUGAAUGAGUACUGGAAUGAACCUGCCCAGCUUGAACACGUUCAGUUCCCACUGACAGGAGAAAUAUUAUCAGUGAAUGCCCAUGAUCCACACUAAGUGUUGAAAUUAAACUAUUAGUUUUAGUAAAGCAUUGCUAUCAAUUCAUUUCACUUCUGCAUUUUUAAACACUUGUAAAUGUAACUUGUCCAUGGAGUUUAUCAAAAGAAAAAAA
Non-coding RNA from Meleagris gallopavo (turkey), 927 nucleotides. Lineage: Eukaryota; Metazoa; Chordata; Aves; Galliformes; Phasianidae. The record is from RefSeq and is a predicted model, not a curated record.